UACGAAGGGGGGCUAGCGUUGCUCGGAAUCACUGGGCGUAAAGGGUGCGUAGGCGGGUCUUUAAGUCAGGGGUGAAAUCCUGGAGCUCAACUCCAGAACUGCCUUUGAUACUGAGGAUCUUGAGUUCGGGAGAGGUGAGUGGAACUGCGAGUGUAGAGGUGAAAUUCGUAGAUAUUCGCAAGAACACCAGUGGCGAAGGCGGCUCACUGGCCCGAUACUGACGCUGAGGCACGAAAGCGUGGGGAGCGAACAGG
This 254-nucleotide ribosomal RNA is filed under the name uncultured bacterium. RNAcentral describes it as "partial 16S ribosomal RNA". It matches the Rfam family "Bacterial small subunit ribosomal RNA", at positions 524 to 776 of the family's 1533-position model. The record is from RNAcentral.